RNAcentral lists this ribosomal RNA (498 nucleotides) under uncultured bacterium. RNAcentral's name for it is "partial 16S ribosomal RNA". It matches the Rfam family "Bacterial small subunit ribosomal RNA", at positions 30 to 523 of the family's 1533-position model. The record is from RNAcentral.
AUUGAACGCUGGCGGCAUGCCUUACACAUGCAAGUCGAACGGUAACAGGUCUUCGGAUGCUGACGAGUGGCGAACGGGUGAGUAAUACAUCGGAACGUGCCCGAUCGUGGGGGAUAACGAAGCGAAAGCUUUGCUAAUACCGCAUAAGAUCUACGGAUGAAAGCAGGGGACCGCAAGGCCUUGCGCGAACGGAGCGGCCGAUGGCAGAUUAGGUAGUUGGUGGGAUAAAAGCUUACCAAGCCGACGAUCUGUAGCUGGUCUGAGAGGACGACCAGCCACACUGGGACUGAGACACGGACCAGACUCCUACGGGAGGCAGCAGUGGGGAGUUUUGGACAAUGGGCGAAAGCCUGAUCCAGCCAUGCCGCGUGCAGGAUGAAGGCCUUCGGGUUGUAAACUGCUUUUGUACGGAACGAAAAGACUCUUUCUAAUAAAGAGGGUCCAUGACGGUACCGUAAGAAUAAGCACCGGCUAACUACGUGCCAGCCGCCGCAGUAA